This 557-nucleotide ribosomal RNA is filed under the name Kluyvera intermedia. Its description in RNAcentral is "bacterial SSU rRNA". It matches the Rfam family "Bacterial small subunit ribosomal RNA", at positions 95 to 648 of the family's 1533-position model. Lineage: Bacteria; Pseudomonadati; Pseudomonadota; Gammaproteobacteria; Enterobacterales; Enterobacteriaceae. The record is from RNAcentral.
GUGGCGGACGGGUGAGUAAUGUCUGGGAAACUGCCCGAUGGAGGGGGAUAACUACUGGAAACGGUAGCUAAUACCGCAUAACGUCGCAAGACCAAAGUGGGGGACCUUCGGGCCUCACACCAUCGGAUGUGCCCAGAUGGGAUUAGCUAGUAGGUGGGGUAACGGCUCACCUAGGCGACGAUCCCUAGCUGGUCUGAGAGGAUGACCAGCCACACUGGAACUGAGACACGGUCCAGACUCCUACGGGAGGCAGCAGUGGGGAAUAUUGCACAAUGGGCGCAAGCCUGAUGCAGCCAUGCCGCGUGUAUGAAGAAGGCCUUCGGGUUGUAAAGUACUUUCAGCGGGGAGGAAGGCGAUGUGGUUAAUAACCGCGUCGAUUGACGUUACCCGCAGAAGAAGCACCGGCUAACUCCGUGCCAGCAGCCGCGGUAAUACGGAGGGUGCAAGCGUUAAUCGGAAUUACUGGGCGUAAAGCGCACGCAGGCGGUCUGUCAAGUCGGAUGUGAAAUCCCCGGGCUUAACCUGGGAACUGCAUUCGAAACUGGCAGGCUAGAGUC